This 71-nucleotide transfer RNA is filed under the name Acheilognathus signifer (Korean bittering). RNAcentral describes it as "tRNA-Ser". It matches the Rfam family "tRNA". From Rfam's summary of the family: Transfer RNA (tRNA) molecules are approximately 80 nucleotides in length. The record is from RNAcentral. Lineage: Eukaryota; Metazoa; Chordata; Actinopteri; Cypriniformes; Acheilognathidae.
AAGAAAGUGACAGAGUGGUCAUGUGACUGGCUUGAAACCAGUUUAUGGGGGUUCAAUUCCUUCCUUUCUGG